GGGCAGAGAAGGAUGGCUUCAAAGCAGUAGAGGAGAGUGGGGUGGUCUGAUUGGAGGCGGCUUGAGAGGGAGUCGAUGGAGCAGAAGGGGAGGGAAGAUCGAUAGAUUUUCAUGGAUUUAAGGAGGAAAGGGAGGCUUGGGGGGCGAAGGGAGAUAGGGUUUAGAGAUAGGGAGAGAACAAGAGGAAGAGCCCUAGAAAUGGAGAGAGGAGAGGGAAAAUACCUGAGAGGAAGGAGAGGAGGACGGAGAGCGUGAGGAGGAGGUGCUUGGUGCCU
Molecule: long non-coding RNA, 275 nt
Filed under: Elaeis guineensis (African oil palm)
Lineage: Eukaryota; Viridiplantae; Streptophyta; Magnoliopsida; Arecales; Arecaceae
Description: long non-coding RNA (EGUI_LNC010946)
Source: RNAcentral